Molecule: long non-coding RNA, 2564 nt
Organism: Dreissena polymorpha
Lineage: Eukaryota; Metazoa; Mollusca; Bivalvia; Myida; Dreissenidae
Exons: 3
Source: RefSeq, a predicted model, not a curated record
CAGGUAAACUGGGUGUUUCACCUGGGACUUUCACAUCGAAACUGGCCCUUCCCCGUGACCUUCAGCACAAAAAAAGAAAGGCUAUAGAUGUUGCUCGUGCAGCAAAACAGCGACGCAUAAGACUAAAAACUGGAACGGCAUUCAAAGGACAGUGCAAGAAGUACGAGCGGGACCAACAUACAGUUCAAACAUAGAGGACCAAGAUGUUGAAGUGACAACUUUACCCCCACCUGUACCCAAGCCUGGUCCAGCAGGGCUAGACACUACUGGGAAGGAAUUUGUUUUCUUUGAUUUGGAAACAAGAGGGUUAGAGCGUACUUCUCACAUAAUUCAGAUAGCUGCAGUGCAUUCAACUGGUCAGUUUUCAACAUAUGUGAUGCCUGAGAAGAAGAUGUCCUUGAAAGCGUCAGAAAUAACUGGAGUGACAGUUGUUGGCGACUCUAUGCUUGUUAAGGGACAUAAAGUAACAGCUGUCCCCAUCAAAUCUGCAUUGACAAGUUUUAUAACAUUCUUACAGAAAUUUUCACCAGAAAUUUUAGUUGGGCAUAACAUAGAGUGUAUUUGAUUGUAAAGUGUUGCUCCAUGCUGUCCAUACUUGUGGAAAAAUGUUUGAGUUUCAGCAAAAUAUUUGUGGCUUUUUAGAUACUUAAAAAUGUUAAAGGAAAUAUUACCAAAUAUAAAAUCAUAUAAGUUAUAAGUCAAGGUGUUACAAGGAAAGUUGCAGGAAGUGGAUUGCGACUUAAACAUUUGAGUAUUGAAUCAAAAAGAAACGGACUGAGUGGUUUGAGGAGCCCCCUGUCAAAGGUUACAAACGGACAAAUCAGAGUAACAAAAUCAGAGAAAAUAAUAUGUGCAAUAGCGAGUUAUUUGUUGCCUGACAUCUAACCAAUUGAAAUUUGCAUCUUGUAUAUAGAUUAGCUAUGAAAUUGUUUUUCCUUCUCGAUGUUGUGAUUCUUAUGUCAGUUGUAUUUCUCAUGUUUCACCUAAGUUGUAAGAUAUUUUUGGCAGUGCAUUAAACCACAGAUGGUGUGUGAAACAUUAUUGCCCCGCUUAUUGUAUUCAAUGUUGUUUUUAGCUCCACUGGCCUAAGGCCAGCAGGGCUUAUGUCAUGAUCCUGUGUCCGUCGUGCGUGCGUUAACUUUUCCUUUAAACAUCUUCUUCUAUGUUAUAAAUAUUAAGUUAUAUAUAUAGUCUUAAAUAAUGACGACCGACUGUUGGUGACUCAAGUUAUAUUUCUUUUUUUGUAUUUUGAUUAUUUAGAAUGCAAAAAAUAUAAUGCUAUAUAUCAUAUAUUUGACUGACUCUGUUACAUAUGUACUCAUGUUUGUCAUAUAUUCAGUGCAAAUGUCUAGUUCAUGCACAAUGUUGAUAUGUAAAUUUUACAUUGAUUAUAGCUUGAAAGCAAUGUAUUUGUAUUGUAUUAAGCUUAUGGUGUAAAAUGUAAUGUGUGUACAUGGCUCUUAGUCGAAUUUGAUAACAGCUCAGUUAUGUACACAAGCUAUGGUUUGCAUUAAUCAUACCGUUGAUAAAUGAAGUAUUGUAUUCUUCCAUAGUUUUAUAUUGUUAUUACAAGGCAGGGUUGGCACCAAUCGACCGCCCUUGGUUUUAACCGGCGGUUUUUACCGGUUAAAACCGCCCUGGUCAAUACUCCCGAAGUGGUCAUUAUUGGUCAAUACUGGUCGAUUGAACUUUGCCCCCAAUUUUGAUUAAUAUUCCAUGGCUUAUUAAACAAUAUUGAUAAUAUCAAUUAAAAAGACAUGUUGCCAAUAAUAUCUUAAGCUAUUAAUACCCACUAUUUUAUACCUGUUAAUGCAAUUUGUAGGCCAAUCUCUCAAAAAAAUUCAAAUUAGUCAAAGUUGGUCAAUUGGAUUUUUCUGGUCGAUUGAACUUUUUUCAAUUCUAAUGAAUAAUGAAUGCUCAGAUAAUUCUGUGCUUGAUUCAACAAGAACCUGUCACUUACUGGUUAUGAGUUAUUCCUCAUGCCCCACUGUCCCCACAAUCUUCUUACAGUCUUCUCACCUCUACAGGUUGGGGCAUCCAAAACUGAUAAUAGGGCCUUAAAUGGCACCUUUUUGACACAGUCCUUACUUGUCAUGUAUUCUUGCAUAGAUUUCUUUAAAUACUUUUUAAACAAAAUAGUCAAAAUAGUCAAAAAAUCUUUUAUUUUCCAUUGAUAUAAAAAUAAAAAACAUAAUAAGAAAUAAUUAUUAAGAGAAAAAAUAAUUGAAAAGAAGAGUCUAGAGUAGACCCACAAUUGGAAAACAUGUUUUAUUGUCAAAAUCAAGAACUUUGAUUGCUUAUUCAUUUGAAUACCAAUUGAAAUUUAAAAUAUGAAAGGAAAGAAACCCUCUUAAUACAGAAAGGAGACAAGUUAGAAGUAACUAUUUAAUUAAUAGCAAGUAAUCUCCUUUUGUGUGAGUGAUAUGAAAUAGCUUAACCCUUUGCAUGCUGGGAAAUAUGUCGUCUGCUAAAAUGUCGUCUGCAGAAUUUCUAAAAUUAGCAUUUUCUUCUAUUUUUUAGAAAGAAUACUAUCAUAAUAGCAAACAGUUUGGAUCCUGAUGAGA